RNAcentral lists this long non-coding RNA (200 nucleotides) under Solanum tuberosum (potato). RNAcentral describes it as "long non-coding RNA (STUB_LNC004917)". Lineage: Eukaryota; Viridiplantae; Streptophyta; Magnoliopsida; Solanales; Solanaceae. The record is from RNAcentral.
CGCAACGUCUUUCACUGCAUCGCAUUUGCCGGGGCUGAAUCCCCUUUCUUGAGCGAUCGCCUUCGCUCGUUGGCAGAAAGCCUUGAUGCGUGCGUCUAGUUUGUUGGGGUGACACUCCGCCUCUUUAUACUCUUAGGAGGCGAGAAACUCCCGUUCCCUUCUCCUUUCUUACUCUUCUGAGGAUGGUUCAGGGGGAGCCG